CCCAGCUUCCGGCACCUUUCGCCACUCCGGCACAAACCGACACAGCUUUGCGAUCUCGCCAGCAUGCAGAGUCUGAUGUCUUCCCUAUAGAUGAUUCCAGAGACUCUGUGAGGCUACUAUUGCAAGGUGAGACGCUUUGCGUUGAUUGGUGCUGCUGGACCACACUGGAGGUGCGAGUCCGCCGUGUAAUGGUUUAUGCCAUUACAAAGGAGCUGGCCUCUGUACUCAACUGGGCAGGGAAAAAAUACCAAGGACCAGACAAAGCAAAAAAGGGCAUUUAAAGAGACAGCGCUGUGCAGAUGCAUAUUUGAUGGCCUGGCGCAGCAGGUAGGGGCGAACUCUAUGUCUGAGUUGGUCUUUGCUCAAGCAGUCCAGAAAUGGCUCAGAUAUGCUCCAGAUCGUACGGGUGGCACGCAGGACGCACAUCAUCCAUCCCCAUCCCGGAGUAAAUAAACAUGUCUAUUGACCUUUUUUGUUUUUUUGUUUUUUUUCAAUAAAAAGCAACUGUGCGAAAGAGGUGGAAAAUCAACACCAUAGCUCAACAGUGUUUCAAUAUCAGAAUCUGACAUUGUUUCAAUGUCAACAGUGUUAGAAAAUAUAUAAUCAAUGUCAGGUUUCAACAUUGAUUCAACAUCAAAACCUGACGUUGUUUCAACAUUAAAAAUGGGUGCAAGAGUGACGUUGGGUCAACGUCAGAUCUCAACGUUGGUUCAAUGACAUUGCCUGAUAUUGACUCAACAUUGUUUCAAUGUUUCCUUGCUAUCUGGGCGGUCAAUUCCGCUGAGAGUAAAUCAAAUGUCCCGCUCUACUGUAGAAGACAAUACCUGGGGGGAUGUACCAAUGUGAGAGGGGUGCUGUGGAAUAGUCCAAGUGAUCGCUGCUUUAAUUUCCCGGUCAACUAUACAUAAAUUGCACGUAGACACGAUUUUUUAAAGCUGGUGAACUAGACCAAGUCAUUGAUAACAAAUGAACAAUAAAUCUACUUUCUCUGGUACUUUAUACCCGAUCAGUUGCAAUGCAAUUUAAUGCUCAACUACAAAUCGAUGGUUUUUGAUGGUGACCAGAGCCGAAUGAUCGUCAACUAUAAAUAGACGUUUUCUCGACGUUGUUGUUGUCACCUGGUCGACUAU
This is a long non-coding RNA of Pelmatolapia mariae (spotted tilapia), 1130 nucleotides long. RefSeq lists it as uncharacterized. Lineage: Eukaryota; Metazoa; Chordata; Actinopteri; Cichliformes; Cichlidae. The record is from RefSeq and is a predicted model, not a curated record. The transcript is spliced from 4 exons.